UACGUAGGAGACGAGCGUUGUCCGGAAUUACUGGGCGUAAAGCGCGUGUAGGCGGAUGAGCAAGUCUGCUGUGAAAGCUCCUGGCUUAACCGGGAGUGGUCGGUGGAAACUGCUCGUCUGGAGGACGGUAGAGGUAGGUAGAAUUCCCGGUGUAGUGGUGAAAUGCGUAGAGAUCGGGAGGAAUACCUGUGGCGAAGGCGGCCUACUGGGCCGGACCUGACGCUGAGGAGCGAAAGUGUGGGGAGCGAACAGG
RNAcentral lists this ribosomal RNA (253 nucleotides) under uncultured bacterium. Its description in RNAcentral is "partial 16S ribosomal RNA". It matches the Rfam family "Bacterial small subunit ribosomal RNA", at positions 524 to 776 of the family's 1533-position model. The record is from RNAcentral.